Long non-coding RNA from Lotus japonicus, 443 nucleotides. RefSeq lists it as uncharacterized. The transcript has 2 exons. Lineage: Eukaryota; Viridiplantae; Streptophyta; Magnoliopsida; Fabales; Fabaceae. The record is from RefSeq and is a predicted model, not a curated record.
UUCCUUUUCUUUCUUCUCCUUCUGCAGACCACGUUCUGUCUUUCUUUUCUUUUUCUUUUCAUUUUCUUGUUGGUUGUGGGUGAGCUUGAGGGAGAAAGGAGGAAGAGUUUUUUUCCGGUUCUUGCCUGAUCGUUGCUCUGUUCGUUGCUACGCGUAGGCCUCGAGGCGAUGGAGAGCCUUCCGCUGAAGCUUAGCUGUUCAAGUUGGAGACCGUGACCGUGGGCGGUCGAGUAGAGGUGGAUGAAGCAGUUGCUUCUCCCUUUUUGGUGGACUAUGUCUGAGUUUCUUUUUCCUUCUGAAAACUCUGUUGUUUAAACCUUAUAUUCGCCACUUGUCUAAGUGAGCGUACUUACUUUGGAAACUUGUUCAUGAUGAUGUAUGACACUAUUAUUAUUAUGUUGGGAAUGGGUUGUUGAAUAAAGUCUAUGUUAUAUAUUCAAUUA